GCCUUAUCAGUAUGGCGGUUUUGACACUCGGCUUGUAAUCGAGUGGGCUUCGGGUUCGAAUCCCAAAUAAGGCU
This is a non-coding RNA of Trichonephila clavata, 74 nucleotides long. NCBI's taxonomy places the organism in Eukaryota, Metazoa, Arthropoda, Arachnida, Araneae, Nephilidae. The record is from the annotation of a GenBank genome assembly.